This 93-nucleotide transfer RNA is filed under the name Gemmataceae bacterium. Its description in RNAcentral is "tRNA-Ser". It matches the Rfam family "tRNA". Rfam says of the family: Transfer RNA (tRNA) molecules are approximately 80 nucleotides in length. Their secondary structure includes four short double-helical elements and three loops (D, anti-codon, and T loops). The record is from RNAcentral. Lineage: Bacteria; Pseudomonadati; Planctomycetota; Planctomycetia; Gemmatales; Gemmataceae.
GGAGAGGUGGCAGAGUUGGUCGAUCGCGUUGCACUCGAAAUGCAAAGUACCUGUUAAAGGGUACCGUGGGUUCGAAUCCCACCCUCUCCGCCA